AGUGAACGCUGGCGGUAGGCCUAACACAUGCAAGUCGAACGGCAGCACAGUAAGAGCUUGCUCUUACGGGUGGCGAGUGGCGGACGGGUGAGGAAUACCUCGGAAUCUACUUUUUCGUGGGGGCUAACGUAGGGAAACUUACGCUAAUACCGCAUACGACCUACGGGUGAAAGCAGGGGAUCUUCGGACCUUGCGCGAUUGAAUGAGCCGAUGUCGGAUUAGCUAGUUGGCGGGGUAAAGGCCCACCAAGGCGACGAUCCGUAGCUGGUCUGAGAGGAUGAUCAGCCACACUGGAACUGAGACACGGUCCAGACUCCUACGGGAGGCAGCAGUGGGGAAUAUUGGACAAUGGGCGCAAGCCUGAUCCAGCCAUACCGCGUGGGUGAAGAAGGCCUUCGGGUUGUAAAGCCCUUUUGUUGGGAAAGAAAAGCAGCAGGUUAAUACCCCGCUGUUCUGACGGUACCCAAAGAAUAAGCACCGGCUAACUUCGUG
RNAcentral lists this ribosomal RNA (492 nucleotides) under uncultured bacterium. RNAcentral's name for it is "partial 16S ribosomal RNA". It matches the Rfam family "Bacterial small subunit ribosomal RNA", at positions 29 to 507 of the family's 1533-position model. The record is from RNAcentral.